This 93-nucleotide transfer RNA is filed under the name Rahnella inusitata. Its description in RNAcentral is "tRNA-Ser". Lineage: Bacteria; Pseudomonadati; Pseudomonadota; Gammaproteobacteria; Enterobacterales; Yersiniaceae. The record is from RNAcentral.
GCGAGGUUUCAUGCGGUAAGUUAAUGAUUCAUAUCACGGUUCUUAGAACUUCUAAGCCGUAGGUCACAGGUUCGAGCCCUGUAGGGCGUACCA